GCUGGGCGUGGUGGUGCACGCCUGUAAUCCCAGCUACUCGGGAGGCUGAGGUAGGAGAAUUGCUUGAACCCAGGAGGCGGAGGUUGCGGUGAGCUGAGAUCGUGCACCACUGCACUCCAGCUCAGGCCUGGGCAACAGAGCAAGACUCUGCCUCAA
Molecule: unclassified non-coding RNA, 156 nt
Organism: Pongo abelii (Sumatran orangutan)
Lineage: Eukaryota; Metazoa; Chordata; Mammalia; Primates; Hominidae
Rfam family: Metazoan signal recognition particle RNA
About the family: The signal recognition particle (SRP) is a universally conserved ribonucleoprotein. It is involved in the co-translational targeting of proteins to membranes.
Source: Ensembl